Pelobates cultripes (western spadefoot toad) is the source of this 217-nucleotide non-coding RNA. NCBI's taxonomy places the organism in Eukaryota, Metazoa, Chordata, Amphibia, Anura, Pelobatidae. The record is from the annotation of a GenBank genome assembly.
CUGGAAAACAAGGUGUACAUUAGUCUAAGAACAGGUAUGUAUCACAGAAAUUGUGGACCAACAUUGGUACGUUAUCAGGAGUGUGUGAAUUGCUUCGGGAGAAUGGCUGUGUGGUAUAGGUGGGCUUAAUGCAACCCGAUCAGGUUGUGGAGUUAUGGCCUUCUUCUAAACGUACCCUAAGCCCAAGAGGCCCUCGAGGGUGGGGACUGGAAAUGGA